GGAGUGCUGGACCUACCAUCUGACUGGUUGCAUCAAAGGAUACAAAACAAUAAUGACAAUUAAAAAGUUGAAGAUAAAAUAUGUAUGAUUAAUAGAGAUAAAAGCAGGCCAUGGAUUAUCCCACAGUACAAUAGUCAGGGUUCAAAAGCCUUGUUUCCCCGUCAAGAAAACGAAGGAGAAAGAAAAAGGAAAGAAAUGGAACUAAGCAAGCAAUGCAGCAUAAAGACCAUAAAUAGUCCCUUCUCUCACUUGGAGCAGGAGUGCAGUAGGUCAAUCCAUGAAGUAUCUACACUUGAAACUAACUUUUGGUUCUGUAAUCAACUUUCUAGUCUGAAAUCAACAAGACACAAAACAUAAAAUGUCCUAGUUUUGCAUGCUCGUGGGGACUACACAAAUAAUCAUUUAUAAUAAUAAGAAGAAACCGCUUCUUUGAUACCAAUAACUAAAGAUAUUAUACCUACUCAACUUUAAAGUGGGUAAUAAUAAAAUUAAAAGAAAGUUUUCUCCUUGUAAAUCUAUAGCUAUUAGAGAAGAUUAGCAAACCAGGAAAAUAAGAAAUAGACUCCACUUUGCAUAUAAUGUCAGCCCAUAAAGUAUCUUUAGAAACAGACGAUCAGACUAUCAGAUUCAGAGCAGCAAAAUUAUACACACAAACACACACACACACAC
RNAcentral lists this unclassified non-coding RNA (669 nucleotides) under Hevea brasiliensis (rubber tree). Lineage: Eukaryota; Viridiplantae; Streptophyta; Magnoliopsida; Malpighiales; Euphorbiaceae. The record is from RNAcentral.